Molecule: ribosomal RNA, 579 nt
Filed under: uncultured bacterium
Lineage: Bacteria
Description: bacterial SSU rRNA
Rfam family: Bacterial small subunit ribosomal RNA
Source: RNAcentral
GGCAGCAGUCGAGAAUCAUUCACAAUGGGGGAAACCCUGAUGGUGCAACGCCGCGUGGAGGAUGAAGGCCCUAGGGUCGUAAACUCCUGUCAUAUAAGAGUAAGGCAUAACAACUUAAUAUCUGUUAUGUUUGAUAGUAUUAUAAGAGGAAGGGACGGCUAACUUCGUGCCAGCAGCCGCGGUAAUACGAAGGUCCCGAGCGUUAUUCGGAAUCACUGGGCGUAAAGAGUACGUAGGCGGUUUGGUAAGUCAGGUGUGAAAUCCCGGAGCUCAACUCCGGAACUGCAUCCGAUACUGCUAAACUGGAGUAAUGGAGAGGCAGGUGGAAUUCUCGGUGUAGCAGUGAAAUGCGUAGAUAUCGAGAGGAAGACCAAUGGCGAAAGCAGCCUGCUGGACAUUUACUGACGCUGAGGUACGAAGGCUAGGGUAGCGAAAGGGAUUAGAUACCCCUGUAGUCCUAGCAGUAAACGGUGCGCGCUUGGUGUAGGAGGACUCGACCCCUUCUGUGCCGGAGCUAACGCGUUAAGCGCGCCGCCUGGGGAGUACGGUCGCAAGACUAAAACUCAAAUGAAUUGACGG